Molecule: long non-coding RNA, 3208 nt
Filed under: Homo sapiens (human)
Lineage: Eukaryota; Metazoa; Chordata; Mammalia; Primates; Hominidae
Description: ABHD16B antisense RNA 1 (ABHD16B-AS1)
Source: RNAcentral
AUUCCAGGUUGACUCCACCAGCGAGAAUCACAGGCGCCGCUGCCGCCUCGCCUCGGGCGUGGACCCUGCGGCUCGGGCCUGCGCGUGUGCACCCCGAGGUUGUCUCACUUCCUGUUCAGGGCGACCAGCGCUGCGCCCUCCCCACUCCACAGAUGAGGAAGCUGAGGUUAAAGUCACUUGCCCCAGGUCACUCCGCAAGUUGAAGCGCAACCAGGAUACUCUGGAACAGGAUGCCUGACUUCAGAGGAGAGGCGCGUAACCACCAGGCAACUGGCCCCACGAAAACAAGUCCCGCAACUUCCCUUCUUUGGCUCCUACUUGCUCCCGGAAGAAAAGCCUUAAACGGUAUUCAAGCCCUUUAGGAUCUGAUGUCCUAGGACUCCACUCUGGGCUUCCAGCCUGGGGUGGUACUGGUCCCUAGGCAUGGAAGCUCCUCCCACUGCCCCUUCCUUCACCCGGCCACCUCCUCCCACAGGUGUCUUCCUGGUACUCUUGCACAGGCCCGAGUCCCUUACCACCACGGCCUUAGCCUGCUCUCGUGCUCUCAGUAAUGUUUUCUCCAUUUGCUGCCUUUCAUUCUUUCCAGAGAUUCUUGCUCAACCCAACCAGGCCAGCCCGGGGACUAGGGACAUGUAGGGACAAUAGUCCCUGCUUCAGGCAGUUCAGGGCAGACCACAGAGAUGUGACAUUACAGACCAUUGUGAGCAGAGGCCUUGUCCCAUUCUGUGUUGCAUCCCUAAGCCAGGAACAAAGUCCAGCCCAGGCCUGGCUCCAGGGGACACGCAGUAGUAUCCUCUGGCCUGUGCAAGUGUAUCUGUAGCCUCACAUGCCACCAUGUGAGUCUGCAAUCUGUCUGUGAAUGCCCUGGUGUAGAAGCCAGGAGUUUGGAGGUGGGAGGGAGCCCUACAGAAUGAUAGCCAGUGCUAACUCCUGGGAAUGUCCAGCCACUAAGACCUGCCCACAGCCCUGCCAUGCCAAUGUCCUCCUUUUCACGGGAGCAGCUUGCACAGACUUUCAGCGCACAGCUGGCAUUGUCUUCCCAGGAGCCAUCCUGUAACCCAGGCCAGGUGAAGGGCUCCUCCCUGGGACCCCACAGCCCCGUUCCCAUCAUCCUUUUGUGGUGAUCAAGGCACCCAUCACACAGUAUUGCCAUAAACCGGGUCAGGUUAACCUUUCAUUCCCUUAGGAGCUGGGUGGGGGCAGCCAAAAGUAUUUGUAGGAGGAAGAGAGAAAGGAGGGGACAGAGCUAGGAAGAAUGGGAGGACGGUCAGAACGCCCCUGUGAAGGAAGGAGAGCACCAAGUCCCCGUGUUCUGCCUACCCUCCCCCAGACAGCAGAUCAGGAGCACCCCGCGCGCCCCCCCCCGCCCCGCCCCGCGUCGGCGCCGGCCCCCUGCAAUGGUUGGCGGUAUGGGGAGGUGAACCAAGAAGGCCAGGAGUUCAAGUGCGUGAUCCCCCACUGGGGCAUAUAGGUUACAGCCGCCAGGGCAACUGAAACUCCUCAGGCUCCAGAGGGCUGAAGUGAGUCGCCUCCACGUUCUUGAGGUGCUUCCGAGCCAGGAACAGUGCGAGGCGCCGGCGCCGCCGCGAGCUCAGGCCCUGGCCCACCAGCCAUGGGAAGGCGGGUCCGUGUGGCCCCAGGGCCUCCUCGCCCUCCAGCUCCUCUUCGCAGCGUGCACGGUAGGAGCGCAGCAGCGCCAGGCACCAGUCCUCGUCCACGCGGUAGCGUGCAUAGAAGGCGGCCUCCUGCGCCAAGCUGCCAGCGCGCAGCCAGCGGGUGACGACGGCGCGGCCCUCUCGCGCCAUCACGACGGGGUAGCGGUGCUCCAGCAGGCGCAGCAGCAGCUCAUUGCCCCGGUUGCCCUCCACGUCACCAGGUGACAGGGGGCGCAGGCGGCCCGAAGUGCUGACCACGUCAUCCUGCGUGCGUCGGAGCAGCAGCACCGGCCCCGGGUAGCAGCACAGCUGCUCGGCCACGUUGAGGUUGAAGUGCUCGCGCACGGUGCGCACCACCAGCCCCUUCCAACUGUGGGGCAUGACCUUCAGCGCCAGCGGCACAAGGUCGUCGAAGGUGGCGUCCAGCACCAGUGCACCCAGCUCCGGGUAGGUCAUGGUGGCCCAGGUGGCCGUGAAGCCGCCAACAGACCAGCCGUAGACCACCAGGUGCGCGGGCGGGAAGUGCAGGCGGUGCAGUGCGUACUCGACCACCACGUCCAUGGCGUUGGCGUCGUGCUGAGGGAAGGGCACGCCAGUGCUGCUGCCGAAGCCGGGGUGGUUCCAGCCCAGCACGGAGUAGCCGGCCUCGAGCGGUGCAGACAGACAGCCCAUCUCGUAGAAGCCCGCGUUGCCUUCGCAGCAGAUGACGAGGCGCGGCCCGUGCACGUGGCUGCCCGGGUGCUGGCGGCGGUCCAUGAACAUAGUGUCGAUCUCGUUGCCGUCACAGGCCACCAGCUUGGCGCGCCGGCCGUGGUAGCGCUCCACGAGGCGCUCUUGGCCCUGCUGCAGCAGCGGCAGCAGCGCGCGCGUCAUCAGGGACACGGAGCCGGGGUACACGAGCCAGCGGCCCAGCGAGUGGGCCAGCGCGUAGCUAGCGAGCUGGCCGGGCAGCUCGCGGAGCUGCUGCAAGAGGCACUGCGCCUGGCUGCGCGCCCCACGUGGAGGCCGCCCCAGCGCAUCCCCGCCCAGCGUCUCGUCCCGCAGCAACCACACGCCCGCCGCGGCUGCCGCGCAGGUCAGCGCCCGGUGGCUGCUGCUCCGGCCCACGGCGCGCACGUCAUCCCAGCGGAAGGCCACGGGCCAGCCGCGGAAUGGGUAGGUGUAGCUGGCGGUCAGGUAGAUCUUGAACACGCGCACCAGCGCCUUCACGAAGCAGAUGACGCACAUGAGCGGUGGCCCUAACGCCCAGCCGCUGGGCCGGGAUCGCCGCGAGAGGCACAGGGCAGUCUUAGGGGAUACCGGCUCCCGGACAAGCCCUGAUGGCCUUUGUGACCUGGCCUUCCAGGGCGGAGGGAAGGCUGCAUCCUGUUGCUAGGUGAUGGGUGCACAAAGGGUUCCCAGAGAUGAUGAACCCAAGGUUCUGCCCGUCCCCCGCCUUCGCCAAGACCCCACCAGCUAAACGCUCCCAGGCCCAGCUUUCCCACCCAUGAUUUGAGCAGCUACUGUCUCCCUCUUUCUUCCUUAUUUAUUUAUUAAAUUGAGAUGGGGUCUCA